AUCCAGCUGACGAGUCCUAAAUAGGGAGAAACAUGUGUCCUAAAU
RNAcentral lists this non-coding RNA (45 nucleotides) under Schistosoma bovis. RNAcentral also lists the same sequence under 1 other name. The record is from RNAcentral. Lineage: Eukaryota; Metazoa; Platyhelminthes; Trematoda; Strigeidida; Schistosomatidae.